AUUUCCUUAUAUGCUCAAUAACAAAGUAUUGUCAAACAUUUCUUUGUUGAUAAAUUGAAUAGUUACAAUAGUAUUUCAUGGCUUAAAUUUAUAUUUUUCUUAUGAAUGAGAUGAGCAUCUCUUCAUGUUUUAUGUUUUAUGUUUGUUUUGAUACAGAGUCUUGCUCUGUUGCCCAGGCUGCAGUGCAGUGGUGCGAUCUCAGUUCACUGCAACCUCCACCUUCUGAGUCCAAGCAAUUCACCUGUCUCAGCCUCCCAGGAAGCUGGGAUUACAGGCAUGCACCACAUGCCUGGAUAAUUUUUGUAUUGUUAGUAGAGACAGGGUUUUGCCAUGUUGGCCAGGCUGGUCUUGAACUCCUGGCCUCAAGCAAUUCACUCUCCUCAGCCUCCCAAAGUGCUGGGAUUAUAGGCGUGAGCCACUGUGUCUAGCCAUCUUUUCAUGUAUUGAAUAGCCAUUUGUAUUCUUUUCUGUACCUCUCUAUUAAUAUUCUUUACUCAUCUGUAUUAGUGUGAUAGGGAUGCCAUAACAGAAUACCCCAGAAUAGAUGGCUUACACAACAGAAAUGUAUUUCUCACAAUUCUGGAGACUAGAAAUCCAAGUUCAAGGUGUUGGCAGGUUCGGUUUUUCCUGGGACCUCUCUCUUCGGCUUGUAGUUGGCCACCUUUUCACUGUGCCUCCACAGUCAUUCCUUUGUCUAUGUUGUCUAUGUCCUAAUCUCUUCUUAUAAGCACAUCAGUCAUAUUGUAUUAGGGUUCACCCUAACAAUUCCAUUUUAACUUAAUUACCUCUUUAGAUGCCCUGUCUCCAAAUACAAUCACAUUCUGAGGUACUCGGGAUUAGAACUUCUACAUAUAAAUGUUGUGGGAGGACAGAAUUCAGCCCUAACAUUCCACCCUCUGGCCUCUCAAAAUUCAUGUCCUUCUCACAUGCAAAAUACAUUCACCCCAUUCCCACAAUACCAGAAGUUUUAACCCAUUCCAGCAUCAACUGUAAGUCCAAAAUCCAUCUAAAUAUUAUUUAAAUCAGGUAUGGGUGAGACUUGAGAUAUGAUUCACCCUGAGGCAAAAUUCUUCUUCAGUUGUGAACCUGCAAAACCAGACAAGUUAUCUGCCUCCAAAAUUCAAUGGUGGAACAGGUAUGGAAUAGACAUUGCCAUUCCAAAAGAGAGACAUUGGGAAGAAGAAAAAAGUCACAGGUCCCAAACAAGUCCAAAACCUAACAGGGUAAAUUCCAUUAGAUUUUAAGGCUCAAGCAUAAUCCUCCUUGGCUCAGUGCUCUAUCCUCUGGGCCCACUGGAGUAGCAGCCCCACCUCCUUGGCUCUGGGUGGCAGUUCUGCCCCCUGGAACCAAGGAGGAAACCACCUCACCCUACCCAAGACUUGUGCCCUCUAGGCCUAUGGUGACAGUGGCAGCUCUGCCUACUUCUGAACUGCCUGUGGGGUCACUCUUCCCUUUUCUUGAAGGAUAAUACAUAUUUGCAGCUAUACAGCUGUAUUGACUUGUUUCAUAAAAUCCCAGAAGCCUGACACACUCCUUCAUUUGUCCCGUCUCUGUCCCUUACAGUCCAGACUGGCAGCAUUUCUGCUGAGGUGGUCCAAUCUCAUAACCUCUUUAGCGAACAUUGCCAAGCCACAAUCUUUGUGUUCUCUCCAGACACACUUUCUCAUUUUUCACAAUAUGAAUAGGCUGAAAUUUUUUCAAAGCUUUAAGUUCUGGCUCCAUCUUGCUUGACAAUUCCUUAUUUAACCUCUCUCUCUCUCCUCUCACAUUUUAUAUAAGUAGCAAGGAGAAACCAGGCAGUGCCUUCAACUCUUUGAUUAGUAAUCUCCACAGCUAAGUACUCAAAUUUAUCACUUAAACAUUCUGCUUUCUACGAAACACUAGAAUACAACGUGGCCAAGUUCUUUACCACUUUAUAACAAGUAUACCCUUUCCUCCAGUUUCCAGUAACAUAUUUCUAAUUUCUGUCUGAUACCUCACCAGCAAUACAUUUAAUAUUUAUAUUUUUACCAACAUUCUGCUCAUGAUGACAUAUGUAUAUCUCUAAGGUAAUAGCAGCUUUUCCUGCAGUGUUCCUAUUUUCUUUCUGAGUGCUCACCCAAAUUCUCGUUAACAUUCAUAUUUCUACCCAGAGUUUCUUGAAGACAAUCUAGGAUUUUUCUAGCACACACCUCAAAAUUCUUCCAAUCUCUACCCAUCAGCCCAUUCCAAAGCCACUUCACAUUUUUAGAUUGUUAGAUCUUCAUCCCACUUCUGGUAUCAAAAUCUGUAUUAGUUUGCUAGGGCUGCCAUAACAAAAUACUGCAGACUGACUAGCUUAAACAACAGAAAUGUAUUCCACAUUUCUCCAGAACCCAAUUCGGGAGGCCAAUGAAGGUAUCUGCAGGCUUGGUUUCUUCUGAGGCCUCUCUCCUUGGCUCCCAGAUGGCCACCUUCUCUCCAUGUCUUCACAUGGGUGUCCCUCUGUCUGUAUUGUCUAUGCUCUAAUUUCAUCUUCUUAUAAGGAUACCACUCAUAUCGGACUAGGGCCCACCCUAAUGGCCCUAUUUUAACUUAAUUACUUCUAUCUCCAAAUAUAGCUCUAUCUUCAAAUACGGUCACAUUCUGAGGUGCUAGAGGUUAAGACUUCAACAUCUAAACUUUGCAAAGACACAGUUUAACUCAUAACACCAUCUUUCUAUCAGAUAGUUUGACCGUUUUCAUUGAUUUGUAGGGUAUUCUGUAUCUAUUAAGGAAAUGGAAUUCUGUGCAGUUAAUAGAAUUAGAAUGAAUCAACUCAACAUGUGUUGACAAAUGACGUACAAUAAUUUCCAAGAUACAUUGUUAAUUUUUUAAGGUUCAAAACAGUGUGUAAAGUAUGCAUAUAUCUGUCUAUAUCUAGACUACCUCUGGAAAGAUCAACAAAAAACCCAUAACAGUAAUUGCCUCCAGGAAUAGUAAUUCUUGCGGAGAUGAAAUAAAUGGCUGGAGUCUAGAAAGCUUACUUUUUUCAUUAUGUACCUUUUGUAUUUUCUCAUUUUUUUAAUGUAUUACCUAUUCAAAAGAAGAAAUAUUGGGCCAGGUGCAGUGGCUCAUGCCUGUAAUCCCAGCAAUUUGGGAGGCCAAGGCGAACAGAUCACCUGAGGUCAGGAGUUCGAGACCAGCCUGGCCAACACGGUGAAACUCCAUCUCUACUAAAAAUACAAAAAUUAGCCGGGUGUGGUGGUGUGUGCCUGUAAUCCCAGCUACUCAGAAGGCUGAGGCAGGAGAAUCGCUUGAACCCGGGAGGCAGAGGUUGCAGUGAGUGGUGAUCAUGCCACUGCACUCCAGCCUGGGUAACAGAGUGAGACUCUGUCUCAAAAAAGAAAUAUAACUUAAUGAAACAUUCACACAUGUGCACAUACAUGGUGAACAGUGGAGAUGGAACAAAAGGAAAGGAGAAGACAAGGAAGAAGAUCUAGAAGCACAAUGUAUCCUAAAUUCAGACCAAAGACACGGGCAACUCAAAUUCUAGAGGCAGAGUUCCCCACUCCAUAGUGUUUGGGGCUGGGCCAUUCACCUAUUUAUUCAUUGAACAUUCAUGAGUGUUUUUCAUAAGGCAGGCUGGGUGUUAGAUGUUCAGACACAGGAAUCAGCCCUGUCGUCAAGGAGUUCUUAUACUGGUCGGGGAGAAAGAGAAGUAAUUAGACUAUUAGUCAUGCUGAGUCAUGGUGAUAACACCUGUAGAGGAUGUUAUGGGAGCACAGAGGAGAGGCUGUCAACCCAGCCUGCAGAGAAGAUGUUCCUGUGACAGGUAAUGCUGGCCUCUCUCUGCUGCCCCCAACUCCCCUAUUAUCACUCCCUUCUCUCAACGCUUUCCUGCUGGCAAAAGGAUCUGAGCAUCUUCCCAUGCUGUUGUCCCUGCAGAGCAGCUGCAGGAGCCCCAAGUCACCAUGAAGUCUGUGAAGGUGUCUGAGAACUUCUCCUGUAACAUCACUCUAAUGUGCUCCGUGAAGGGGGCAGAGAAAAGUGUUCUGUACAGCUGGACCCCAAGGGACCCCCAUGCUUCUGAGUCCAAUGGAGCUUCCAUUCUUACCAUCUCCCGAAAGCCCUGUGACCCAGACCUGCCAUACACCUGCACAGCCCAGAACCCCAUCAGCCAGAGCAGCUCCCUCCCUGUCCACGUUGGGCAGUUCUGUACAGAUCCAGGAGCCUCCAGAGGAGAAACAACGGGGGAGACUGUGGUAGGGGUCCUGGGAGAGCCAGUCACCCUGCCACUGGCACUGCCAGCCUGCCAGGACACAGAAAAGGUUGUCUGGUUGUUUAACACAUCCAUUAUCAGCAAAGAGAGGGAAGAAGCAGCAAUGGCAGAUCCACUCAUUAAAUCCAGGGAUCCUUACAAGAACAGGGUGUGGGUCUCCAGCCAGGACUGCUCCCUGAAGAUCGGCCAGCUGAAGAUAGAGGAUGCCGGCCCCUACCAUGCCUACGUGUGCUCGGAGGCCUCCAGAGUCACCAGCAUGACACAUGUCACCCUGCUCAUCUACCGUAAGUCUCUGGGCAGGGAACCCAUCACCAGAUUCCUUCUCUGAAAGCUUUCUCCUCUGCUGCCUUCUCCACCUGCCGCUUCUCCAAGGGUCUUCCCUCAUACUGAAAUGCCUCAGACCACUAGGACAGCUGCUCAGUUCACACCAGUUGAUUCACAGGAGGAAAACUCAUGACUAGCUGCUGGACAAGUCUACCUGCCAAAGUGCCCCUGGCUCUAGGCUGCCAGUUAGGCUUCCACCACCCAACUUUAGGUGCUUGCCCCGGUCCUUCUGCAUUGAGUGUCAGAAUGGACUAGGAGGCCCGGCGCAGUGGCUCACACCUGUAAUCCCAGUACUUUGGGAGGCUGAGGCAGGUGGAUCACCUGAGGUCAGGAAUUUGAGACCAGCCUGGCCAACACGGUGAAACCCCGUUUCUAUUAAAAACACAAAAAUUAGCUGGGUGUGGUGGUGGGUACCUGUAAUCCCAGCUACUCCGGAGGUUGAGGCAGGAAAAUUGCUCGAACCCCAAGGGGUGGAGGUUUCAGUAAGCCGAGAUCGUGCCACUUCACUCCAGCCUGAAAGAAAGAGCGAGACUCCAUCU
Molecule: small RNA, 5082 nt
Filed under: Pongo abelii (Sumatran orangutan)
Lineage: Eukaryota; Metazoa; Chordata; Mammalia; Primates; Hominidae
Description: retained intron
Source: RNAcentral